GGGAGACCUGGGGAUGCAGGCCACCCAGGAGUUGAUGGAAGUUCAGGUCUCCCAGGUCCUGCAGGUCCACGAGGGCCCCCUGGCCCAGCUUCUGAUCAAGGUGACACAGGCAAUCCAGGUUUUGCUGGUGUUCCUGGCUUACGAGGCAUUAAGGGCAACAUGGGACCCCCUGGUCCAGUUGGGCUCCCUGGAGCAUUUGGAUUCAAAGGUAUAAGGGGUGAGCCUGGCCUUAUGGGGAUGCCAGGUAAAGAUGGGCCUCCCGGGGAUCCUG
RNAcentral lists this long non-coding RNA (271 nucleotides) under Apteryx owenii (little spotted kiwi). Its description in RNAcentral is "lncRNA (ENSAOWG00000000943.1)". The record is from RNAcentral. Lineage: Eukaryota; Metazoa; Chordata; Aves; Apterygiformes; Apterygidae.